CCUACGGGUGGCAGCAAUGAGGAAUAUUGGUCAAUGGACGAGAGUCUGAACCAGCCAAGUAGCGUGAAGGAUGACUGCCCUAUGGGUUGUAAACUUCUUUUAUAUGGGAAUAAAAUGUUCCACGUGUGGGAUUUUGUAUGUACCAUAUGAAUAAGGAUCGGCUAACUCCGUGCCAGCAGCCGCGGUAAUACGGAGGAUCCGAGCGUUAUCCGGAUUUAUUGGGUUUAAAGGGAGCGUAGGUGGAUUGUUAAGUCAGUUGUGAAAGUUUGCGGCUCAACCGUAAAAUUGCAGUUGAAACUGGCAGUCUUGAGUACAGUAGAGGUGGGCGGAAUUCGUGGUGUAGCGGUGAAAUGCUUAGAUAUCACGAAGAACUCCGAUUGCGAAGGCAGUUCACUGGACUGCAACUGACACUGAGGCUCGAAAGUGUGGGUAUCAAACAGGAUUAGAUACCCGAGUAGUC
Molecule: ribosomal RNA, 460 nt
Filed under: uncultured bacterium
Lineage: Bacteria
Description: partial 16S ribosomal RNA
Rfam family: Bacterial small subunit ribosomal RNA
Source: RNAcentral